Amblyraja radiata (thorny skate) is the source of this 216-nucleotide long non-coding RNA. RefSeq lists it as uncharacterized. The record is from RefSeq and is a predicted model, not a curated record. The transcript is spliced from 3 exons. Lineage: Eukaryota; Metazoa; Chordata; Chondrichthyes; Rajiformes; Rajidae.
UAGAAACACAUCAAGGAGAGGCCUGGGAGACGUUGGAGCAAGAGGAGGAGUUUCCGGGCGGUGAGUGUUUAAAUCGGGCGCGGGGCUUUACUCCACAGAGGUCCGGGAGACGUUGGAGCAAGAGGAGGAGUUUCCGGGCGGUGAGUGUUUAAAUCGGGCGCGGGGCUUUACUCCACAGAGGUCCGGGAGACGUUGGAGCAAGAGGAGGAGUUUCCU